AGAGCGAACGCUGGCGGCAGGCUUAACACAUGCAAGUCGAGCGGGCGUAGCAAUACGUCAGCGGCAGACGGGUGAGUAACGCGUGGGAACGUACCUUUUGGUUCGGAACAACACAGGGAAACUUGUGCUAAUACCGGAUAAGCCCUUACGGGGAAAGAUUUAUCGCCAAAAGAUCGGCCCGCGUCUGAUUAGCUAGUUGGUGAGGUAACGGCUCACCAAGGCGACGAUCAGUAGCUGGUCUGAGAGGAUGAUCAGCCACAUUGGGACUGAGACACGGCCCAAACUCCUACGGGAGGCAGCAGUGGGGAAUAUUGGACAAUGGGCGCAAGCCUGAUCCAGCCAUGCCGCGUGAGUGAUGAAGGCCCUAGGGUUGUAAAGCUCUUUUGUGCGGGAAGAUAAUGACGGUACCGCAAGAAUAAGCCCGGCUAACGUUCGCGCCAGCAGCCGC
This 448-nucleotide ribosomal RNA is filed under the name uncultured bacterium. RNAcentral's name for it is "SSU rRNA". It matches the Rfam family "Bacterial small subunit ribosomal RNA", at positions 26 to 518 of the family's 1533-position model. The record is from RNAcentral.